GUGUGUGUCGACUGGAGCAAAGGAAAACAAACCCAAACCCUCAAGUUCACAAAUUCAGUAAAUUGAAGGAGAAUUCUUGGUCCAAAUCAUUGCAUGUAUACAUAGAAACGUUCAUCUAAGCUAGACAAACGAAUGGGGUGAAAGAGGAAGACGCAAGCCACUCCGGAACGCAAUCCAAACUCGAUAAAGGUAAAGCGACUUGUUAAAAUGGCGUUACUUGGAUCGAACACAUUCAUCAUGCACGCUUCCGUGAAGAAAUUAGUCUUGGUCAAAACUUUUGUUAAAUGCUUUUCUUUUGUUUUUAAACGGGUCUUUUUGUAAGUCAUAUAAUCCGAUAGCC
This is a long non-coding RNA of Helianthus annuus (common sunflower), 340 nucleotides long. RefSeq lists it as uncharacterized. The record is from RefSeq and is a predicted model, not a curated record. Lineage: Eukaryota; Viridiplantae; Streptophyta; Magnoliopsida; Asterales; Asteraceae. The transcript is spliced from 3 exons.